This 192-nucleotide ribosomal RNA is filed under the name uncultured bacterium. RNAcentral describes it as "partial 16S ribosomal RNA". It matches the Rfam family "Bacterial small subunit ribosomal RNA", at positions 335 to 524 of the family's 1533-position model. The record is from RNAcentral.
ACUCCUACGGGAGGCAGCAGUAAGGAAUAUUGGUCAAUGGAGGGAACUCUGAACCAGCCAUGCCGCGUGAAGGAUGACGGCCCUCUGGGGUUGUAAACUUCUUUUGGAUGGGGCGAAAAACGGGAUUUAUCCUGGACUGACGGUACCAUCAGAAUAAGCACCGGCUAACUCCGUGCCAGCAGCCGCGGUAAU